UGUAACUGACGCUGAGGCUCGAAAGCGUGGGGAGCAACAGGAUUAGAUACCCUGGUAGUCCACGCGUAAACGAUGAGUGCUAAGUGUGGAGGGUUUCCCCCUUCAGUGCUGCAGCUAACGCAUUAAGCACUCCGCUGGGGAGUACGACCGCAAGGUUGAAACUCAAAGGAAUUGACGGGGGCCCGCACAAGCGGUGGAGCAUGUGGUUUAAUUCGAAGCAACGCGAAGAACCUUACCAGGUCUUGACAUCCUUUGACCACUCUAGAGAUAGAGCUUUCCCUUCGGGGACAAAGUGACAGGUGGUGCAUGGUUGUCGUCAGCUCGUGUCGUGAGAUGUUGGGUUAAGUCCCGCAACGAGCGCAACCCUUAUUGUUAGUUGCCAUCAUUCAGUUGGGCACUCUAGCGAGACUGCCGGUGACAAACCGGAGGAAGGUGGGGAUGACGUCAAAUCAUCAUGCCCCUUAUGACCUGGGCUACACACGUGCUACAAUGGGAAGUACAACGAGUCGCUAGGCCGCGAGGUCAUGCAAAUCUCUUAAAGCUUCUCUCAGUUCGGAUUGCAGGCUGCAACUCGCCUGCAUGAAGCCGGAAUCGCUAGUAAUCGCGGAUCAGCACGCCGCGGUGAAUACGUUCCCGGGCCUUGUACACACCGCCCGUCACACCACGAAAGUUUGUAACACCCGAAGUCGGUGAGGUAACCUUUUGGAGCCAGCCGCCUAAGGUGGGAUAGAUGAUUGGGGUGAAGUCGUAACAAGGUAACCAAGGGCGAAUUCUG
This 775-nucleotide ribosomal RNA is filed under the name uncultured Enterococcus sp. RNAcentral's name for it is "bacterial SSU rRNA". It matches the Rfam family "Bacterial small subunit ribosomal RNA", at positions 735 to 1515 of the family's 1533-position model. The record is from RNAcentral. Lineage: Bacteria; Bacillati; Bacillota; Bacilli; Lactobacillales; Enterococcaceae.